AGAGUUUGAUCCUGGCUCAGAGCGAACGUUGGCGGCGCGCUUAACACAUGCAAGUCGAGCGCGAAAGGGCUUCGGCCCGAGUAGAGCGGCGCACGGGUGAGUAACGCGUGAGAACCUACCCUUGGGUUCGGGACAACAGCCCGAAAGGGCUGCUGAUACCGGAUACGACCUUCGGGGGAAAGCUGGGGACCGGCGACGGCCUGGCGCCCGGGGAUGGGCUCGCGUCCUAUCAGCUUGUUGGUGAGGUAAUGGCUCACCAAGGCGACGACGGGUAGCUGGUCUGAGAGGAUGAUCAGCCGCACUGGAACUGAGACACGGUCCAGACUCCUACGGGAGGCAGCAGUGGGGAAUUUUGCGCAAUGGGCGAAAGCCUGACGCAGCGACGCCGCGUGUACGAUGAAGGCCUUUGGGUCGUAAAGUACUGUCAACGGGGACGAACGUCGCUCGGCGAAUAGCCGGGUGGUCUGACGGUACCCGUGGAGGAAGCACCGGCUAACUCUGUGCCAGCAGCCGCGGUAAUACAGAGGGUGCAAACGUUGCUCGGAAUGACUGGGCGUAAAGCGCGCGCAGGCGGUCCUCUAAGUCGACUGUGAAAUCCCAUGGCUCAACCAUGGACGUGCAGUCGAUACUGGGGGACUCGAGUCCCGGAGAGGGUGGUAGAAUUCCCAGUGUAGAGGUGAAAUUCGUAGAUAUUGGGAGGAAUACCGGUGGC
RNAcentral lists this ribosomal RNA (712 nucleotides) under uncultured bacterium. RNAcentral describes it as "bacterial SSU rRNA". It matches the Rfam family "Bacterial small subunit ribosomal RNA", at positions 8 to 716 of the family's 1533-position model. The record is from RNAcentral.